UGCGAGUGCUUCUGGAUUAUUGCACUCUCUGUGGGGAUUCCCUUGAUUUUUAAGCUUCAGUCAGUGCAGAAUGCUGCAGCACAGUUGUCACAGAUCUCAGAGAUCUUGCACUAGUUGCCUGUUUGCUACUGGUCUGGGCCAAGAUCAAGGUGUUACUUUUGGUAUAUAAAGCUCUUAAUAGAUUGGGAACAAUAUACUUUCAGUAAUACCUUACCCCAUAAAUGUUGGCUCAACUACUUUAAUCUGUGGUACUGGAACUGUACAGGUGUUUUGCAUAAUACUCGGUCCACCUUGGUAAGCUCUCAAUCUUCUGUAUGGGAACACCUACAUUUUGGAACUCCCAAAAUUGAUAUCAGGCAGUCAUCUUCACUGUAAUCUUUACAUGCCCAAUUUAAACUUUUGUUUAGUCUACCCACACAUGUAGAAGUUAUAUGGUAGCUAUUGUUGAUUUUAAUCAUAUGUUUAAUACCUGCUUUUAAUUCUCUUCCUCCACCAAUGAUUUAAUGGUUUAAUAUGUAUUGUAAACUGCUCACCAACACAUUCAGUCUUUCAGUAUUGAGCGAAGCAAUAUGAAUCCCUAUACUUCAUUUGCAUACACUUUCAGAUCUUUAACCAGGCCUUUUUGGCUGAGUGACAACUUUUAAAAUGUGCUGGGGAGCAUAGCUGUCAAGUUCUCCCUUUUUUGAAGGGAAAUUCCCUUACGCUGAAUAGGCUUAUUCGCGAGAGAAGGGAAAACUUGACAGCUAUGCUGGGGAGUGGUUUCAUUGACUUGUUUCUUGUUUUUACUUUUAAUUACACAUUCCGUUGGUUUGUAUACAGUGUUGUGAUUUUAUAUUGCAACCGCCCCGAGACCUGCACGGCAUAGGGCAGUAUACAAAGAGGAUUGAGAAUAACAAUGUGCUUGUUUCCAACAUAAUUGUAAAAAGUAUUUUUUAAACUGUAAAACACAUCGAUUUCAAAAGCCUCUGGGAGCGAGUUCUAACGCGAUUUCCAAUGGAACCCAAAACGUGCCAAUUAAGAAGAGGGGGCGGGUAGGCUUUGCCUCCGCAGCGCCCGACGCCUCGGGCACCAUAGUAACCUCUCCUUAGGCCGGGGGCCGGGAGAGGGCGACGUGCCAGGCUCCACGCAGGCCUCUCUACUCGCGCCCCUCGGAGGCCGCUCCGGCGGCUGGGCCCUCCCUCCGCCUCGCCUCGCCCGUUGUCGUCGCUCCUGUUCCUGCUGCUCGGCCUGGCGGGGCGGGACCUCACGAAGCGGGCGGCUGGGCUGCGGUGCUGGCGGUGGAUGUACAGUAAUCCAGAUGAAUCUUUUCCACUUUACCACGAGAAGGCUGGUUUCUCAAGUAUAUUGUGGACUGAAACCUGCUUCUUCCAAGAAACAAAGGACUUGCUUUGAAAUGGCCCGACCCAGUUCAAGUAUGGCUGAUUUUCGAGAAGUAUUUGCUAAAGCAAAGCAUAUAGCUAUUAUUACGGGGGCUGGUGUCAGUGCCGAGAGUGGUGUUCCGACCUUCCGAGGUGCAGGGGGCUACUGGAGGAAAUGGCAAGCUCAGGAACUGGCUACUCCAGAGGCUUUUGCAAGGAAUCCCUCUAGGGUGUGGGAAUUCUACCAUUACCGUAGAGAGCUUAUGAUGAGUAAACAUCCAAACCCCGCACACACUGCCAUAGCAGAGUGUGAGGCCAGGCUUAGCAAGCAAGGAAGGAGUGUUGUGGUCAUCACGCAGAACAUUGAUGAGCUCCACAGAAAAGCAGGAACAAAGCACCUCUUAGAAAUUCAUGGUAGCUUAUUCAAAACCCGAUGCACCAGUUGUGGAACUGUGACAGCAAAUCACAAGAGUCCAAUCUGUCCUGCUUUGGAUGGGAAAGGUGCUCCAGAUCCAGAUGCUGAAGACAGCCGGAUUCCUGUAGAAGAUCUUCCUCGGUGUGAAGAAUGCAAUGGCCUCUUGCGCCCUCACGUUGUAUGGUUCGGAGAAACUUUGGAUUCUGAUAUUCUUACAGAGGUUGAAAAAGAACUUGAGAUUUGUGAUCUUUGUUUGGUGGUUGGAACGUCCUCUAUAGUAUAUCCUGCUGCUAUGUUUGCUCCCCAGGUAUCUGCCAGAGGAGUGGCAGUUGCAGAAUUCAACAUGCAAAGCACCCCAGCCACAGAUAGGUUCAGGUUUCAUUUCCCAGGUCCCUGUGGUACCACACUACCCCCAGCACUUGCACGCCAUGAAACUGAGAUAAUCUCAUGAACAUUUAUCAGCAACACAGAGGAAAAAAUCCAGCUGCUCAUUCAGCAGGAUGCAAGCAUAAGAGGAAUGUGGGACUUGUAGAAAACAUCAUGCCUGCAAGUGAGCAGUAGGAUCUAAGGGUGACACUGAAGAAAAUAGAUCAUGAUUUUCCAGUUGGUUACAAGAAUGAGCAAAGCAAAAGAUUUGUCAUGGUCAAGGACACUGGAUAAGCAGUUACAUUUUUGUUAGACAAAAACCAUUUAUGUGAAAUGAGAGCAUAAAAAUGCCAACAGUUCAAAAGAAGACAUUUGUGCCCUGAAAUAUUAGGCUACAUAUUUGGCAAAUCAUAAUGGGAGGGACUUCAUCAUGACCUUACACUUCUUUGUGACUACACAAAAUAAUUUUAUAAACCAACUGUAAAAUUCUGAGAAAGGUGAGAAUAAGCAAAUGGGGCAAAUGACAGCUUUUCAUAUAGCCUACACUCUAGUUUUUGUAGGAAAAUGGUAAACAAGGUGGUCUUUUCAUGAAGCAGUGCAAUCCUCUAAAAAGGUUUACUUCCAGGAUGGUGUACAUUUCUUUGUGGUGAUCAGUAUGAGAAAACAAUUAAAGGAACAUAGGUAGCAGCAUCCAUGUGCAAAGUAUACAUGCUUAAUUUCUUCUCGCUCUUGGACUUGUAUGAAUGUAUUUGUGGGUUUAUUAGUCUUUUACUUGUUUUGUCUACUGUUCUAAGUCACUAAGAUAAGAUAAACCAAUGCUUUGUCUAUUUUGUUCCAAAGCAGUUUUCCUAUCAAAAUAUUAAUAGGUAUUAGCAGAUUUCAUGAUAUAAUUAGUGCUGCAGUAGAUACCGCACUAACCAUGUUUACACUUCCUCUCAACUAUGAUAAAACCUCAGUAACUGGGAAAUGGAAUAGGGCUCAAUGUUGAGUUACUGUGAAACAGAACUUCCAACUUGUGGUAUAAUAUGGUUCUGCAGUUUCCUUUUUAUAAUUUAAUAUUAAUAUAUACUAUAUAGAAUAAUUUUGGAGUAAUCAGUGUGCUUCACAUAACAUCCAUUAAUUGUAAGAGGCUUUCUCAUGAGCAAAGUUUCUGGAGCUGCAAGGAAUAUGAGCUCUCUCAAAAUUUGAAGUCAGUUUAAGCCAAUAUCCCCCACCCCCAUAAACAAAUGGCCUAGAAGGGGAAGCCAGUAGGGCUUAUCCUGGCACCAUUUGGCAGAAUGAGACAGGAGUAUAGCUUUGCACACAGUGCAUUCAUGCCAGUUUGGUGCUCAAAGAUGUGCACCACCCUCAAUCUUAGAACAAUCAUGUUGAAGAAAUUUGAGAUGGCAGCUUCUUGCAGCGAAAGCUAUAGAAGGGCACUGGCGCCUUUUAAAAACUUAACAAUUUGGGCAGCAUUCUACAUGGUUAUAUGGGAACAAACACUGGAAUUUACAUUUGGGUAAACAUGGAUUGGCUUGUGUUGUUCUAGUAUGUAUAUGCUUUUGCCACGUGUUUCUUUGGGCUAGUGCCUAUAAGCACAGUUGCAUUCUGGAUAUUGGAAUCUUUGGUAGUGGAUCAGAAAUGGAGUGGUUUCUGCUGCACAGACGCCUUAUGCCCUACCAAUGCGAGGGGAAAUUAUGUAUGUGAUUUGUACUGUUCUUUCACAAAAUAAAAUAAAAUAUGUAUUAAUCUGAAAACAGAAUUACUGGUACUGUAUCUAAUUGACAGAAUCCCUUGGCUGCUGCGUAAGGAACUUAGACUGCCCCUUUCGCCUCUUCCUGCAUUUUCCCUGUCCAGAGGCUUAAUUUCAAGCUUUAAGUGUAGAUGUGACUGGACACCAGGGUGUCCAUCCAGAAGCAUGAAGUGGCAACAAAUAUCACUUUCUAUUUGGGUCCUGUUGUGUGGGCAUGUGUGCUGGGUUUGGACAUUUGCUGUAACAAUCCCGAUGCAAACUGUUAAGUACAGGGGGAAGCUUGUGCUGAGGGGGGAUUAUGUUUGCUUCGCUGUGCAAACUCAGCCUUAAUGUUGCAAAUUAAAGAGUCGAGACUAGUUUGCUUUACUUAUAAAAUCCUCAGUGCAAACCUUCCUCAAGCUGCAGCAAAACCCGCCCCGAUCCAGUAACUGACUGCAGCAACGUUGCAACUGUCGCGGUUUAAAAAAUCACGUUUCCACAAUAAAUAAGAGCCAAGUUGGAAAGAGCAAGAGAGAUAUUACUGUGUUGCCAUCCCUUGAGGGUCAGUGAGGGAAGAACAACAUCCCUGCUAAUCGACUUAUUUUGGCUUCGACUCCAACGCCCUCGGAACCUCGCUGCUCGGCCAACGACGCCUGCCCGGAAGCUUAUUUUAGCGCGCCGAGUCCUCUCUAGCAAGUCCCCGCUCCGCAAGGCUGCUUCCGGGUCACGGGACGAAGGGUCAGCCGGAAGUUCGAGGAGUGGAGAAAGAUGGUAACGCGGAGGACUCGCGCGAUGGUUAGGAAAAGAGUUGAGGCGGAGGCCGCCGCCGCCGCCGCCGCUUCCUCAGAAGAGGACGAGGAGAGUGACGAGGCUCCCGAGGAGAGAAAAGGCUACCUUAAAAGAAAAGAGACGACGGAAAGAAGAACUAUUUAAGGAACAAAAG
Non-coding RNA from Zootoca vivipara (common lizard), 4793 nucleotides. Lineage: Eukaryota; Metazoa; Chordata; Lepidosauria; Squamata; Lacertidae. The record is from RefSeq and is a predicted model, not a curated record.